GUAGGUGAACCUGCGGAAGGAUCAUUAUUGAAUAAACCUGAUGUGGUUGUAGCUGACUCUCCGGAGUAUGUGCACACCCGUCAUCUUUAUAUUUCCACCUGUGAACACACUGUAGUCCUGGAUACCUCUCGCCGCGAGGCGGAUGCGGAGUUUGCGCAAGCUUACUCUGAAUUUCCAGGUCUAUGAUUUUACAAACCCCAAUUGAAUGUUACAGAAUGUUAUCAUCAGGCCUUGUGCCUAUAAAUUAUACAACUUUCAGCAACGGAUCUCUUGGCUCUC
Molecule: unclassified non-coding RNA, 279 nt
Filed under: rhizosphere metagenome
Description: partial ribosomal RNA internal transcribed spacer region
Source: RNAcentral